UGAAAAUUCGUACUCGUCUUGAGCUGCGUGCAAUAGUAGAUAACUUGAUUAGUAUUCUAGAACAUGCUAAUUGAGGAUGGUUUCGCUAACCCUGCGAGUUUUCAAU
This 106-nucleotide unclassified non-coding RNA is filed under the name Escherichia phage DT57C. RNAcentral describes it as "RNAIII". Lineage: Duplodnaviria; Heunggongvirae; Uroviricota; Caudoviricetes; Demerecviridae. The record is from RNAcentral.